CGCGUGAGGGAGGGGCUCUUGGGUUGUAAACCUCUUUUAUCAGGGAAGAAACAAAUGACGGUACCUGAUGAAUCAGCAUCGGCUAACUCCGUGCCAGCAGCCGCGGUAAUACGGAGGAUGCAAGCGUUAUCCGGAAUUAUUGGGCGUAAAGCGUCCGUAGGUGGUUUUUCAAGUCUGCUGUCAAAGCGUGGAGCUUAACUCCGUAUCGGCAGUGGAAACUGGGAGACUAGAGUGCGAUAGGGGUAACGGGAAUUCCCAGUGUAGCGGUGAAAUGCGUAGAGAUUGGGAAGAACACCAGCGGCGAAAGCGCGUUACUGGGUCUGCACUGACACUGAGGGACGAAAGCUAGGGGAGCGA
Molecule: ribosomal RNA, 357 nt
Filed under: Pseudophormidium sp. PJ S40
Lineage: Bacteria; Bacillati; Cyanobacteriota; Cyanophyceae; Leptolyngbyales; Leptolyngbyaceae
Description: bacterial SSU rRNA
Rfam family: Bacterial small subunit ribosomal RNA
Source: RNAcentral